GCGGGAACUCGCGGUCCAGGUGCUUGAGACCCAGGCGCGUGCAGGUCCUGGGCGGUCGCAGCACAAAUUCUGGGUGGCGGGAGAGGAUAUCUGCCGCACAGGCCUGGCGGCGGCAACCCAGGUCCUGGGUACCGGAGGAGCACGUCUUGGGAGACGGUGGAGCAAGCACUUUCGUGGCGCAGGUCUUGGUCGACAGACG
This 199-nucleotide long non-coding RNA is filed under the name Hordeum vulgare. Its description in RNAcentral is "long non-coding RNA (HVUL_LNC004671)". The record is from RNAcentral. Lineage: Eukaryota; Viridiplantae; Streptophyta; Magnoliopsida; Poales; Poaceae.